AUUAUUUUAGUAUAAUAGUACCUUUUCCUUCCAAGAAAAAAGUUUAGGAAGCCUAAAAAUAAUA
RNAcentral lists this transfer RNA (64 nucleotides) under Decemunciger sp. AB-2017. RNAcentral describes it as "tRNA-Gly". The record is from RNAcentral. Lineage: Eukaryota; Metazoa; Annelida; Polychaeta; Terebellida; Ampharetidae.